This is a small nucleolar RNA of Cricetulus griseus (Chinese hamster), 91 nucleotides long. Its record names the gene SNORD116. It matches the Rfam family "Small nucleolar RNA SNORD116". From Rfam's summary of the family: HBII-85 is a member of the C/D class of snoRNAs, which contain the C (UGAUGA) and D (CUGA) box motifs. HBII-85 is encoded in a tandemly repeated array with another C/D snoRNA, HBII-52, in the Prader-Willi syndrome (PWS) region of chromosome 15. Unlike most other snoRNAs, HBII-85 is expressed prevalently in the brain (but is absent in PWS patients) and lacks any significant complementarity with ribosomal RNA. The record is from Ensembl. Lineage: Eukaryota; Metazoa; Chordata; Mammalia; Rodentia; Cricetidae.
GGAUCGAUGAUGAUUCAAAUCAAACAUUCCUUGGAAAUCUGAACAAAAUGAGUGAAAGCUCAAUACGCCUCUCUCAUCGGGACUGAGGUCC